AAUCUCUUAAAGCCGUUCUCAGUUCGGACUGUAGGCUGCAACUCGCCUACACGAAGUCGGAAUCGCUAGUAAUCGCGGAUCAGCAUGCCGCGGUGAAUACGUUCCCGGGCCUUGUACACACCGCCCGUCACACCAUGAGAGCCGGGAACACCCGAAGUCCGUAGUCUAACCGCAAGGAGGACGCGGCCGAAGGUGGGUUUGGUAAUUGGGGUGAAGUCGUAACAAGGUAUC
This 231-nucleotide ribosomal RNA is filed under the name uncultured bacterium. RNAcentral's name for it is "partial 16S ribosomal RNA". It matches the Rfam family "Bacterial small subunit ribosomal RNA", at positions 1270 to 1500 of the family's 1533-position model. The record is from RNAcentral.